CAGCUCGGACAGGGGACUCUGUAACACUAGCCUGCAGGCCUCCGCACAGCAGACCUCCGGCACUUGUGUCCUGGUUUAAGAACAGCCGUCCACUCACCCCAAUGUCACAUUUUACACAGAAGUCCAGCGGAGACCUGCAUUUCCACAGGGUGCAGGACACUGACCGAGGGAUCUACUUCUGCAGAGCAUCCAAUGCCAUUUUGUCCAGAUCGGUGACUUCUGUGAGGGUUUACCUUAGCGUGCUGGUUCCACCCACUCUGAAGUUGUGGCCCGCGGUUCUGACCACUUUGCUGGGGUCAGGGGUGAUGCUGCAGUGCCUGGUGUCAGGACACCCACCGCCAUCCAUUGCAUGGUCAAAGCAGG
RNAcentral lists this long non-coding RNA (363 nucleotides) under Scleropages formosus (Asian bonytongue). RNAcentral describes it as "lncRNA (ENSSFOG00015025351.1)". Lineage: Eukaryota; Metazoa; Chordata; Actinopteri; Osteoglossiformes; Osteoglossidae. The record is from RNAcentral.